CAAGGGAGUGGAAGGAACCAAAAAAAUGGUUGUUGGGAAACCAUUGGCGGCAGCACGCCUAUCCAUUUCAUGGAAUCCGUGGAAUCUGAAUGUUAAGCCAAUUCCACUUACCACAUUCAACUUCGCUCUUCGGUUGCAACCACCAACUUACCUCAAUCUCCAUGUUAGAGCAUCUUGUUUUCCCGCUUCUUCCCCUCUUCCCCAGAACGAUGAUCUCCAAGCUCUCUUACAGAUUCUUCCAUCCGAUUUGCAUGACAAUCUCCUCAAUGAACCGGACAGGGCUCAACUCUUAGAGGUUAUAUUGGAUUUGGGUCGUUUGCCAGAGGCACGUUAUCUUGGUAAAGAAGGAGGGCAAUAUAUAAGGGAGUCUGAGGUAACUGUGAAAGAGCUGGAAUAUGCUCAACAAGCUGUUGGAGAGUUCGGCAGGGACAAUAGAGCCGGCAUCGAGGGUACAUUGCACAGAAUAUCUGCAAUACGGAGUAGGAAAGGUGGCAUAGUUGGCUUGACAUGCCGCGUUGGAAGGGCAGUAAGUGGCCAGAUUGACAUGGUUUAUGACCUGCUUCAAUACUGGAAGAGCAUUUUAUUUGUGGGAAGGCCUGGGGUUGGUAAGACUACUGUUAUACGAGAGAUUGCUCGUGUACUGUCAGAUGAAUUUCACAAGAGAGUGGUAAUUGUUGAUACCAGCAAUGAAAUCGGAGGUGAUGGCAAUAUUCCGCAUGCUGCAAUAGGGAGUGCACGAAGGAUGCAGGUACCUGAGCCAUCAAUGCAACAUAGAGUGAUGCUUGAGGCAGUAGAAAAUCAUAUGCCUCAGGUGAUUAUAGUUGAUGAGAUUGGCACAGAAGCCGAAGCUCAUGCUUGCCGAUCAAUUGCUGAGAGGGGAAUCAUGCUUAUUGGGACUGCUCAUGGACAACAGCUUGAGAAUAUCAUGAAGAAUCGAACACUCUCAGAUCUGAUUGGUGGAAUAGGAGCUGUUACUCUGGGAGAUGCAGAAGCUAGAGCAAGAAAUUGUCAAAAGACAAUUCUUGAAAGGAAAGCUCCUCCAACAUUUGAUUUCCUGAUCGAGAUGAGAGACAGAUACUACUGGCUUACACAUCAGACAGACAAAAGUGUUGAUAUGUUGCUUAGAGGCAAAAUUCCUCAAGUUGAGGUAAGAAAAAGAGAUGAAAAAUGCAAGGUUGUGAUAGAAAAAUCCAAAGCAUAUGAUAAAUGUCAAUUUUAAUUUUCUUUUUGAGGGAUUAUUGUGUUGACAUUUUCAAAUAUUGAAGGACAAAUUUGGUAACCAACAUCUUUAGAAGAUUAACGAGGUUUAGAAGGCAAAUAUUGGAUUGAGGGAAUGAAGAAAAAGCAUGUAAAAAUGGAGAACUCAUGAAGAAAUGAAGGAAUUGCAAAGCUAUCAAUCCUGACCUCUUUGUACUUAAUCGAUCAUAACUUGAGCUACAAAGGUCCAAAUAAGGCGGUUUUAGUUGCGUUGGAAAGCUAACAUCUGGGGCUUUAAAAUGAUAUAAAAUUUUCCAUAUUUUCCUGGCGUUUAGGGACGCGUACACGUCGUUUCACGUGCACUCAUCGCAGGAUCAGUAUGGGCCAUUUUUAGCAACUCGUGGCCAGUGAUUUCUGGCUCAUUUUGGGCCAAAUCUAACUCAUUUCUGAUUCUAUGAACCCAAAGAUUGAAGGAGGAUGAACCAAGUAGUGUUAGUUUUAGUUUUUACUAUGCUUUAGGUAGAAUUCUAGAGAGAGAAGCUCUCUCUUCUCUCUAGAAAUUAGGUUAGGUUUAGCUUAGGAUUUUCGUAGAUCUAGUUUUAAUUUCUUGUUUUCAACUUGUCUUCCUU
Molecule: RNA transcript, 1826 nt
Organism: Arachis stenosperma
Lineage: Eukaryota; Viridiplantae; Streptophyta; Magnoliopsida; Fabales; Fabaceae
Exons: 10
Source: RefSeq, a predicted model, not a curated record